GUUGAGUCUGGUACUUCCCAAUGACUAGUUGAACUGAACACACAGGUGUACGCAGUUCAGUGAACAGGUGAACUGGUGUUUUGCAUACAGGUGUUUUGCCUAGUUUUAAUUAUUCCCAUGUUUCCCCUGCCUUCUUAGUCCUGUAUUACAGCUGGUCUUUCCGCCCACAGUGUAUUUGCAGGCACCAAGAUGGCUCCGUCUAGAAGAUUUUGCUUCAGUUUUUCUUUGACCUUCAACUGACUGCUCUCAGUGCUUAUAGUUUGGAUCAAGGUGCAUGGAAUAGAAGAUUUUAUACUCAUAAGUUAUAGCCAACAGUGAACAUCUUCUGAUCUGUUCAUGGCUUACCACUGAUUGCUCUGUUUUUCAUCCUCUUUGUCUUGAGGAAAUCUGCCUAUUUAGCAGCUUUCAGUGUGAAAGUGAAAGUGAAGUCGCUCAGUCGUGUCCGACUCUGUGACCCCGUGGACUGUAGCCUAUCAGGCUCCUCCGUCUAUGGGAUUUUCCAGGCAAGAGUGCUGGAGUGGAUUGCCAUUUCCUUCUCCGGGGGAUCUUCCUGAUCCAGGGAUCGAACCUGGGUCUCCCACAUUGCAGGCAGACGCUUUACUGUCUGAGCCACCAGGGAAGCCCACCAGGGAAGCUUUCAGUAUUCUGCAGAGACCCCGGGUGGCCCAGCCUGACUAGAGAAGCUCACAAAGUGACUCACAACACUGGAGGAGCUGCAGGUCCGCCCUUGGCUCUGUUUUCCUCAUGAAGAACUGUGUUCUCAAGGGAGACCUCUUGAAUUUUCCAGGCAAGGAUACUGGAGUGGGUCACCAUUUCCUGUUCCAGGGGAUCUUCCCACCCGAGGGAUCGAACCUGUGUUUCUUGUGUCUGCUGCAUUUGGCAGGCAGAUUCUUUACCAUUUACCCCUUGGGACGCCUGUGGUCAUUGUGUCGGCAGAUCUUUUACUUUUCUAAUGUGGUCUGUCUUGGUCUCUGUGGUGGAAGGGAUAUGCUUCAGCCUUGCUCCUGUGUUGCAGGAUUUUCUCAGCCAUGUAUUGUCCAAUAGUAGUUGUUACUUAUUCUUAUGAUGCGGAGAGGAAAUCAGGAAAGACUUAUCUUGGUGAUGCCACCUGUUAUUUAUAGGUAGUAAAAUUUGGUUUUUGUAUAUAGUAUUCUGUUAUUGAAUAUUAUUCUUUUGAUUUAUUUUAACCAUUUGUUAAUGUAAAAACUGAUCUUAGCUCAUGGGCUGUACAGAGGCAGGAAAAGGCUGGAUUUGGCCUGUGGACUGUCGUUUACCAUGUCAACUACUCCAACUGAGUAUUUCUGAGUUGUUCUUUGUCACAGUCUGACACGCAGAAAAAUAUGAGGAAACAAGAGGAACGUAAGGGGAAAAUCUCCAAAGUAAGCUGAUUGUGUGAAAAGAGGGAUUGCCUGCUGGGAAAUGUUCACCCUGAGGAUAUUCUUGGUAAAAAAAUAAGAAAUGGCAAGGAAAUGAACUGCAAGAUGGGUUAGAUAUUUUUCUCAUUUCUCCUUUUAUUUUUUUCGUUUGAUGGAUUUCAAGCUUCACAAUGGAAACUGCUAUCACCUCCUUAUUUCAUAAACAGACUGCAAAAGGAGUUAGAAAUACCGUUUUGAAGUCAUCCAACUCCUCUGGUAUACAUGCACUGCAGCAUAUUUAUAUCUUCCUGAUGGCCUUUUCACCUCCCAUGCUAAUCGUGAAUUAAAUUUUUGUCUCAAAGAAGCAGAGCAGCGUAAGAUUUUCUGAAAAAUUGAGACAAACAGUGCUAAUGUCAAGCAAGUGAUUUCUUCAGAGUGCUUUAGGAAGAGGAAGAAAUAAAUGAAGGUUGUUGAAUAGCUACUAUAAACUAAAUAUUAUGUUCGUACGUGUGGAAUGCUUGGCAUACGUGUUUAGCACAGAGUCAACACUAAAUACAUUAAACAUACUGUAUCAGUUAUAAUUAUUACAGUCUUUUUUGAUCUUAAAACAGCCAUGCAAUCGAAAUACUAUGAUGUCUGCCUUGCACUUAGAGAAAAUAAGGAUUGUGAGAGUAAGUAAUUUUUCUCAUGUUACAUAAUUAGUAAGUGGUAGCACUGGCUACAUGGUAGGCUCUCAAUAAGUAUUUGCUGAAUUUUUUUUUUUUUUUUGUGAUGAGGACACUUGGCAUG
Molecule: long non-coding RNA, 2144 nt
Organism: Bos taurus (domestic cattle)
Lineage: Eukaryota; Metazoa; Chordata; Mammalia; Artiodactyla; Bovidae
Source: Ensembl